This 1402-nucleotide unclassified non-coding RNA is filed under the name uncultured Neocallimastigales. RNAcentral's name for it is "partial contains small subunit ribosomal RNA, internal transcribed spacer 1, 5.8S ribosomal RNA, internal transcribed spacer 2, and large subunit ribosomal RNA". The stretch from base 621 to 1402 matches the Rfam family "Eukaryotic large subunit ribosomal RNA", at positions 1 to 630 of the family's 3401-position model. The record is from RNAcentral. Lineage: Eukaryota; Fungi; Neocallimastigomycota; Neocallimastigomycetes; Neocallimastigales.
AAGUCGUAACAAGGUUUCCGUAGGUGAACCUGCGGAAGGAUCAUUAAAAAAUGUGGUACCAUUAUUGGUACUAAUUAAUCAUCCUACCCUUUGUGAAUUUGUUUGUAACGAAUUUUUUUAAAUGGGUCUUUCCCUAAGUUGGAUUGUUAGUAAAAUACAAAAAGACUUAGGGGAAUGACUUUUUUAAAAGACUUUUUUUUUAAAUUAAAACUUUUUGUAUUCAUUUGUCUAAAAUUUAUUUUUAUAAUAUAAAAACAACUUUUGACAAUGGAUCUCUUGGUUCUCGCAACGAUGAAGAACGCAGCAAAAUGCGAUAAGUAGUGUGAAUUGCAGAAUACGUGAAUCAUCGAAUCUUCGAACGCAUAUUGCACUUUUUUAGUUUACUAAAAAGUAUGUCUGUUUGAGUAUCAGUAAAAUAUUCUCACAAACAUAUAUUGUUUGUGGUAUGAGUGUUUUACAACGAUAAACAAGUUGUUUCACUUUAAAUUCUUUUUGUAAUUUUUACUACCAAUUACAAAUUUAAAAUUGGAUAAAAUUUUCCUUUAACGAGGAAUAACCUAAACAAUUUUAAAUUUUUGGAUUAAUAACAUCCAUGAAGGAAUCUAUAUACAUAAAUAACUUGAUCUCAAAUCAGAUAAGAGUACCCGCUGAACUUAAGCAUAUCAAUAAGCGGAGGAAAAGAAACUAACAAGGAUUCCCUUAGUAACGGCGAGUGAAGCGGGAAGAGCUCAAAUUUGAAAUCCUCAAGGUUUGACCUUGACGAAUUGUAGUUUAUAGAAGUGUUUUCUGUUGGAGUUUUGGUAAAAGUUCUUUGGAAUAGGACAUCAUAGAGGGUGAGAAUCCCGUAUUUGACCAUGACUUUCCAGCUGUGUGAUACACUUUCAAAGAGUCGGAUUGUUUGGGAAUGCAGUCCAAAAUGGGUGGUAAAUUUCAUCUAAAGCUAAAUAUUGGCGAGAGACCGAUAGCGAACAAGUACCGUGAGGGAAAGAUGAAAAGAACUUUGAAAAGAGAGUUAAACAGUACGUAAAAUUGUCAAAAGGGAAGCGUUUGACACCAGUGUUGUUUUCUCGAAAAUCAAUUUAAUGAGUUCUUGUUUUUAAGUUAUUGUGACUUUAUCAGCGCAUUUCUUAUUUUACUUGACUCAUUGAAUGCACUUUUCGUUUAACAAGUCAACAUCAAUUUCUUUGGUGGUAAAAAGUUUAAAGGAAGGUGGCUUGGACUUCGGUUCAAGUGUUUAUAGCCUUUUUUCUAUGCCAUCGGAGAGAUUGAGGUCUGCAGCGUAGAUCCUUCGGGGUUAGAUACCUUUGUGCUAAGUUAUAGUUUUUUAUAGACAACUUGUUGACUAUAAUUAACCCUGUAAUUUACUCGCUUAGGCUAUUUUACCUACGCUUAGGAUGUUGAG